This 301-nucleotide ribosomal RNA is filed under the name uncultured bacterium. RNAcentral's name for it is "partial 16S ribosomal RNA". It matches the Rfam family "Bacterial small subunit ribosomal RNA", at positions 509 to 807 of the family's 1533-position model. The record is from RNAcentral.
CAGUAGCCGCGGUAAAACGUAGGUGGCAAGCGUUAUCCGGAAUUAUUGGGCGUAAAGCGCGCGUAGGCGGUUUUUUAAGUCUGAUGUGAAAGCCCACGGCUCAACCGUGGAGGGUCAUUGGAAACUGGAAAACUUGAGUGCAGAAGAGGAAAGUGGAAUUCCAUGUGUAGCGGUGAAAUGCGCAGAGAUAUGGAGGAACACCAGUGGCGAAGGCGACUUUCUGGUCUGUAACUGACGCUGAUGUGCGAAAGCGUGGGGAUCAAACAGGAUUAGAUACCCCGGUAGUCCCUGUCUCUUAUAC